RNAcentral lists this long non-coding RNA (340 nucleotides) under Glycine max (soybean). RNAcentral describes it as "long non-coding RNA (GMAX_LNC001194)". Lineage: Eukaryota; Viridiplantae; Streptophyta; Magnoliopsida; Fabales; Fabaceae. The record is from RNAcentral.
AAUCAGCCAGCACCGAGUCAACGCCGCGCCGCUCGCUCAUCGCGAUCUUCAGUUCCGCCCUCUUCAGAAGCGCGUCACCUCUCUCGUCCUCCGCGAGCGAACCCGCUGCGAGUGGAGACAACGCGGCGUCGAGCGCAUCGAGCGCGUUGGUGCGGAAGCCCUGGAGGUCGAGCGCCAUGGACUUGAGGAGGUGCGAGGCGGCGUCCUUGGGGUCGAGCGCGAUGGCCUUCUCGGCCUCGGCUAGGGCUUGUUUGGCGAGGGAAGUUGCGGAGGAAGCGCUUUUGGAUCUUCUGGCUUGGGCGAGGAGCUGCGCGCCUUUGACGAAAUGGCGCUUGGCUUG